CUAACACAAAUACUUAUGCCUGUUUUUGGUUGUUGUUGUUGUUAGGUGGAGUAUUGCACUUUUCUUGCCCUCACUCAGUGGUGUAUUACUCCUCAACUCUGGUGGCAAGAGUCUGCGAGAGACCACUCGUCUACUGAGUUUCAAACACAGACCUAAUGUCCACAUAUCAGACAUUGCUGGACGGGUGGCUCGCCAUACCAACAACAGAAGGCUGUGUGAACCCACACAAAAGAACAUUGAAAAGGCCAAGCUCAACGAGCUCACAGUUGAACUACUGUGGUUGAAAAAAAGAGGAGGCCAAGAAGAAAACGCCCACUUAGACAUGCCACACUGGCUCUUCCCACCAUUACUCACUGUAUGACAGGUUCCACCAAAAGAACCUGAAAAGAGAGGAGGAUAGACUGCAUAGUCUAAACUUGGUUCCUGAGUUGGCAUCAACAGUAAACUCAUCAGUGGCUGAGCAAAUAUAUAGAGAGCUGUCAUCAAGCAGCUACUUCCUCUGCUCCAUGAGGGACAGCCAUUUCAUGUUUUCACUGGGCUCAUAUUUCACCUGCACAACCAGAAAGUGAAUACCACUUAUGGGGAGGCAAUAAAAAGGAUGACAGAGGAUCCACUAGAGAUCCUACAGUGGGCGACUCUGGCUAUCAGGAUCGGUCCCAGUAAAGGUAGAGAAAGUGGAGAUGGCUAUGCCAACAAGUGGAGGUGAAACGACAUCGGCUGACAGUCAAGUUUGUUUUUCAGCGUCUUUGUUUCCGGAUAAACCUAAGACCUUUUGGUUUCAGACACAUCAACUUCCCCCUCACCGUGGUUAAAUGAUGAUGUCACGGUAAUCCCAUCCUUCAUGUUCCCUUACUGGUGGCGGGAUUGGAGAGCUCAUCAAACAGUUGGGGACAGGCGCCUGUCCUGCAUACAGGUUUUCGAUGGACCAUAUAAACAAAUACGAGUGUACAACUCUCUGGGCUUGUACAAAACAAUCCCUUAAAAUGACAUGGAGUUGUUAAGCUUUGCCUUUUCCAAAAUGUGGGACAUAACUGUAUGGACACAGAAAUACCCAGCACAGUGGACGCAAAAUUAUGGAAAUAACUGUGGGGCGUUUGGCAUGACGAUGGCACAGAUUGAACUGCAGUCCUUGCAAGUUAAGGAGGAGGGUUUGGGACACAACCAAUUACAGCACCUUCACCUUUACCACGCCACAGAGAUGAUGGCAGAUGUGAAAGUAGAAAAGCCGAAAAGGAAACGGCAGUGUAUGGCCAGUAACAUCCAUGUAUGCGUGUAACAGGAAGGCUCAUCCGGACAACAACGUGCGGUAAUAGAAGAAAAAAAGAGUCCUGGGCAUUGUAACAGAGGAAGAAGUAAAGGGUGAUGACUUAAUCAAACUGCUAGAGAGGGCAGUGGGAGGCAAACCAACGGAAAUCAGGACUGUGGACCUACUUUUUGAUGUCAUGAUGCCAGAGGUCAUUAUAAGAAUACUGUUCAGGCAUCAAGGGAUGUGCUGCUACAUGGCUGAACUGUUUAUCCACAGCAGGAAAGCCAUUUAGGCUGCUUUUAUUUGUUACACUACAUAGUUUGAUUGUUGGUGGGGUUUUGUAUUUAACAAAAACAUUUAAGACCACACACAGUUUUUUUCUUUAUCUUAUUGUAAAGGUUAUUAUGCUUUUAUUGUUUCGGUGGUCCUAUUUUCAUGCAUAUAAUGUCAAAUGCAGUUUUAUUUACUUGAGUAAACGGACGCCCUCGCCAUCCCUGCUGUCGGAUGUCCGUCCAUGUGAAAAAGGCCUAUAAAGUUUUGUUUUUGCUAUCAUAACAGCCAUGUUGUCGGAGUAAAAUUAGUGUAAGUUCUUUACCAUUUAUCAAAGUUUAAAACAGCACGGAAACUGCAGCAAAGUAUGAUGCAAAGUGUUUAUUCGAAUCUAACACAAAGGAUUGAUUCCAACAAACGUGAGUAGACCCCGGAGUCUGACUGAAAAUGUUCUCCGGACAUUUGCUUAUAUAUUUGUUCUCCAUUAUUUUUUUUAUUUUACCAUUGGUACAUUAUAUGUAGUCACAGAUUCAUAUAUGCAUUUCACACUCGGUUGGUUCAUUGUCACAGAAUUUGAAUAGCCUGGACUUUCCCUAACUUUCUCCCAUCCAGUGCCCACGUGAAACCUUGCAGCCCACCUGCACAGGUUCUACGGAGUUUAAGGACAUAAAUCUGUCCUCUGAUAUCUGGGCCUUGUAGUUCCCUAUCUGGGUCUUGUAGUCCUUCCGGGAAGAAACCUACACACACACACUUCUCUCUGUUGCACUCAAACUCUAACUAUCUGGUCUUCCACAUUUGGCCUCUUACUUCUGUUUUAGUGGUAAUACUUAUCAGUCAACAGCUUUGCAUCUGGUUUU
Molecule: long non-coding RNA, 2373 nt
Organism: Hypomesus transpacificus
Lineage: Eukaryota; Metazoa; Chordata; Actinopteri; Osmeriformes; Osmeridae
Exons: 11
Source: RefSeq, a predicted model, not a curated record